This 280-nucleotide long non-coding RNA is filed under the name Capsicum annuum. RNAcentral's name for it is "long non-coding RNA (CANN_LNC007046)". The record is from RNAcentral. Lineage: Eukaryota; Viridiplantae; Streptophyta; Magnoliopsida; Solanales; Solanaceae.
AGGAGAACUAAUGAUUGUUGGGUAUAUUGGUUCAAUACUUCUGAAGUUGACAUCAGGUAGAAUGUACUAAGUAUGAUCUGAAAGUAAUAGGCAAGUUGUUUUGUAGCACAAGACAUCUCAGAAUAAGUAAAAGUUUCUUUCAAUGGCCAGUCAACCUCGGUUACAGGUUAAGCUCUGAUUUUCAUGUUUUGUUACUUUUUCCUGCUUGUAUGGUUAGAAUCUAUAGUACGCAUAUUUUUUUUGCAGGUCUUAGCUGCUAGCAAGAAUAAAAUCUUUGCAC